UUUUGACCAUAUCACUCAGUUGAGAAUGCCACAGACAAGGUGUGAAGGAGACAGACAUGAUAGAAGAUAGAAGAGACAAGUGAUGACAUCAGUGCAGGCAGACAGUGAGUCAAUCACCACAAAGGAGAAUGUUCUCUACGGACAACAAAGCCUCAUGUCUGCCGACCAUCUCAAUGCCCGAGCCAGAACUGAACACUCAUUGCCAUUCAGCUCAAUUGUCUCCUGCAAGUGGAGGAACAAAAAAAGGACUUACGAAGUUUGGGAAGAAGAAGCCCGAGAACUAUGAUAUUUUAUUCUGAAACAGAGAACAGACACCUGAGAACCCUGAGCCAACGACAUAUGCGUGAUUAGAUUCACGUCUGCCAUGUGCUCUGAAUAGCGUUCUUAACAUACUGGCUUUUUUCAUAUUGUGUUACUGUGUUUUUCAACUGCUCUGUUCCACUCACUUACAUGACCCUUUUUGAUUUCCUGUGUUAUGACAUUUAUACAGUGAUGUUGCAUUAUGUUGAUCAAUAUUGUUUUAUGAUAAAGAAUGGAAACUGUCUGCUUCAGACACACACCAAGACCUACAUUUUAUGCAAUCUUUUUGCUUUGAUAUAAGGAGAACCAGGAUCUGCAUGGCACCAAAGAUCCUUAAAAUACUUGGUAAUAGUAAUUCUCAAAUUCAAUACUGGGACUUUUGGCUAAUUUUGGCCAAGAGCAGGAUUUCCCUGAGGGUCUUAUCAGUUUUUACCUUCUCUUAGGUUCUUUAAAAUAUUUGAGGUGAGGUUUAUCCAGCAAGCGUUGAUAACUCAAUUAUAACUGCAAUUAGAGUUUAAUCCUUACUCCAUUUACCACCAACCAAUGAUAAUGUCUCUGUAUUAAUCUCAGGUGUUAACCUAAAAAGAGGUAACUCUGUAUUCUGAAAAGCCAUGCAACUCUGGAUUAAAAUAAACAAACAUUCAAACAUUAUUAUUCCACACGUUAUUUAUUGAA
Molecule: long non-coding RNA, 975 nt
Organism: Fundulus heteroclitus (mummichog)
Lineage: Eukaryota; Metazoa; Chordata; Actinopteri; Cyprinodontiformes; Fundulidae
Exons: 3
Source: RefSeq, a predicted model, not a curated record